CUGUUAGCUGCACGUGUUUGGAGGCGGGGGCGGAGCAAGUUCCUGGGAGAAAACGAGCUGAAGAACCUAAAAGUGCAUUAUCAUACCCAGCUUUAUAAGGACACCACAGACGUCCUGCACCUCCUGCACACUCAGGCCAUACAGAUCGUCACGGAAGCCAGUGCCGUGUGCUACACAGACCUAAUGUUCUUUGAUGAACAAAGGAAUCAGUGAAGUCAGCAGGAUGGGUGUUACCUCAAAACUCGUGGACGAUGAACUUCAUGCAAAAGAUCGGAGUGUGGAAAUGUCCUCUGCUGUGCACAAUGUCUCCUGUAGGGGGCAGCAAAGACCAUCACUCUCACCAGUGCGUGCUGUCACACUUUGUGAAGAAUUUACUGACUUCACUUACAAUAUUAACGUCAUUUAAAAUAAAGCAUCAUAUUGUUAAAAAAUAACCUGGUUAUGAAGCUGUUCGAUAGAUCAGAGUAAUAAUAAAAGUGUUU
Molecule: long non-coding RNA, 482 nt
Organism: Tachysurus fulvidraco (yellow catfish)
Lineage: Eukaryota; Metazoa; Chordata; Actinopteri; Siluriformes; Bagridae
Exons: 4
Source: RefSeq, a predicted model, not a curated record